AAAAAAGAAGAGAAACAAUUAUACCAGAUAAUAGAAAAACUGAGCUGAAUCUCUUUCUUAAGUCCAGGAUACUUUGUUCUAAAAUUUGGUACA
Lynx canadensis (Canada lynx) is the source of this 93-nucleotide small nucleolar RNA. Ensembl annotates it as small nucleolar RNA SNORA81. The record is from Ensembl. NCBI's taxonomy places the organism in Eukaryota, Metazoa, Chordata, Mammalia, Carnivora, Felidae.